This 73-nucleotide transfer RNA is filed under the name Ursus americanus (American black bear). It matches the Rfam family "tRNA". From Rfam's summary of the family: Transfer RNA (tRNA) molecules are approximately 80 nucleotides in length. Their secondary structure includes four short double-helical elements and three loops (D, anti-codon, and T loops). The record is from Rfam by way of RNAcentral. Lineage: Eukaryota; Metazoa; Chordata; Mammalia; Carnivora; Ursidae. RNAcentral also lists the same sequence under 2 other names.
GCCUGACUGGCUCAGUCAGUGGAGCAUGUGACUUUUGAUCGCAGGGUCAUGAGUUCAAGCCCCAUGUUGGGCC